This 180-nucleotide unclassified non-coding RNA is filed under the name Basidiomycota sp. RNAcentral describes it as "partial contains small subunit ribosomal RNA, internal transcribed spacer 1, and 5.8S ribosomal RNA". The stretch from base 1 to 47 matches the Rfam family "Eukaryotic small subunit ribosomal RNA", at positions 1785 to 1831 of the family's 1831-position model. Lineage: Eukaryota; Fungi; Basidiomycota. The record is from RNAcentral.
AAAGUCGUAACAAGGUUUCCGUAGGUGAACCUGCGGAAGGAUCAUUAGUGAAUAUGAGUCGUGGUUUACCCGGCCCAAUCAUUACAAACCCAUGUGCACAGUGCUUUUCACGCGAAACAGUAAUGAAUGUCAGUUGUCAUGCAGAUGUAACAACUUUCAGCAACGGAUCUCUUGGCUCUC